CAGAAGCUCCACGAGGCUUUAUUCAUCCCAUAAACACCCAACCCUUUCUGUCUUUGCCUCUUAGAGCUGACGAUUUCUUUGCCUGGAAUAGUCCUGCCCUAGCUCCUCACAAACCAAUCCUUUCUAUUCCCCUAUUUGUUAUCAUAAUCGUAGAUGCCUCUUCCUGAGAAAAUCUUCCCAGUUUUCUCUCUCUCUACUGUGGAUUCUUUGAAGAAAAGACUGUCCUGGAUCUCAGUCAUGCUUGUAUCCCCAGAGCCCAGUAUGUUCCCAUGGGAACCUAGAGAAGGAUGUUCCUUGUUUUCCACCACCCCUCUGGGCUUCAGUGAAGGAAAAUGGACCACAGGGGACUCUUCAAGAACUGCUUCAAGAUGUGCUAUCCAGCAGGGGAUUUGGCCCAACAAAUGCUUACUGGGGACCAGCUCUGCGUUACAGGCUGUGCUCAAGACUGUGGAG
Molecule: long non-coding RNA, 453 nt
Organism: Heterocephalus glaber (naked mole-rat)
Lineage: Eukaryota; Metazoa; Chordata; Mammalia; Rodentia; Bathyergidae
Source: Ensembl